RNAcentral lists this ribosomal RNA (947 nucleotides) under Apis mellifera (honey bee). RNAcentral's name for it is "partial 16S ribosomal RNA". Lineage: Eukaryota; Metazoa; Arthropoda; Insecta; Hymenoptera; Apidae. The record is from RNAcentral.
UUUUGUACCUUUUGUAUCAGGGUUGAUUAAAAUUUAUUUAAUGAUUUUUAAUAUCUCGAAAAUAAGGGAGCUAAAUUUAUAUUAUUUUUUUUGUAGCAAUAAAAUUAUAAAUAUAGAUUUAGAAAUUAAAUGUUAAACGAACUUAUUAAUAUCUAGUUUUUUUAGAAAUAAAUUUAAUUUAGAUAUAAUUAUUUUAGUAAAUUAAAUUUUAUUUUAAUUUAUUAAUUUUUAUAUUAAAAAUUUAUGGGAUAAUCUAUAAAUUUAAGAUAAAAAUUUAAUUUUAAUUUUUAAUGUUAUAGAGAUAAUAUUUUUCUUUAAUUUUAAUAAUUUAAUAAUUUAAUAUUUAUAAAUUAAUAAUGAUUUAAAUUUAUAUUUUAUUUUUCUAUAAAAAUUUAUAUUUUAAUUAAUAAAAUAUAGAAAUAAUGAUUAGAUUAGUAAUAAAGUUAUAUUUUAUAAUGAUAUUUUGUAUUAUAUAAUUUAAAGGAAUUCGGCAAAUAUAUUAUUCACCUGUUUAUCAAAAACAUGUCCUGUUGAUUAUAAUUUUAGGUCGAUCUGCUCAAUGAAUUAUUUUAAAUAGCUGCAGUAUGUUGACUGUACAAAGGUAGCAUAAUAAAUUGUCUUUUAAUUGAAGAAUUGUAUGAAAGAAUUAAUGAAAUAAUAACUGUCUCUAAAUUAUUAAAUGAAUUUAAAUUUUUAGUUAAAAUUCUAAAAUUUAAUUAUGGGACGAUAAGACCCUAUAGAAUUUAAUUUAAUUUUUAAAUUUAUUUAUAAUUUUAAUAAAUAUAUUUAAGAUUAAAUUUGAUUGGGAGGAUUGGUAAAUUUAAUAAACUUUAUUUAAGAUUUAAUUUUGAUAUAAAGAUAAUUUUUUGAAUUAUAAAUUGUAAUUAAAAGAAUAAAUUACCUUAGGGAUAACAGCGUAAUAUCUUUUGAUAGACCAUAUAGAUAAA